GACGAACGCUGGCGGCGUGCCUAAUACAUGCAAGUCGUACGCUUCUUUUUCCACCGGAGCUUGCUCCACCGGAAAAAGAAGAGUGGCGAACGGGUGAGUAACACGUGGGUAACCUGCCCAUCAGAAGGGGAUAACACUUGGAAACAGGUGCUAAUACCGUAUAACAAUCGAAACCGCAUGGUUUUGAUUUGAAAGGCGCUUUCGGGUGUCGCUGAUGGAUGGACCCGCGGUGCAUUAGCUAGUUGGUGAGGUAACGGCUCACCAAGGCCACGAUGCAUAGCCGACCUGAGAGGGUGAUCGGCCACAUUGGGACUGAGACACGGCCCAAACUCCUACGGGAGGCAGCAGUAGGGAAUCUUCGGCAAUGGACGAAAGUCUGACCGAGCAACGCCGCGUGAGUGAAGAAGGUUUUCGGAUCGUAAAACUCUGUUGUUAGAGAAGAACAAGGAUGAGAGUAACUGUUCAUCCCUUGACGGUAUCUAACCAGAAAGCCACGGCUAACUACGUGCCAGCAGCCGCGGUAAUACGUAGGUGGCAAGCGUUGUCCGGAUUUAUUGGGCGUAAAGCGAGCGCAGGCGGUUUCUUAAGUCUGAUGUGAAAGCCCCCGGCUCAACCGGGGAGGGUCAUUGGAAACUGGGAGACUUGAGUGCAGAAGAGGAGAGUGGAAUUCCAUGUGUAGCGGUGAAAUGCGUAGAUAUAUGGAGGAACACCAGUGGCGAAGGCGGCUCUCUGGUCUGUAACUGACGCUGAGGCUCGAAAGCGUGGGGAGCAAACAGGAUUAGAUACCCUGGUAGUCCACGCCGUAAACGAUGAGUGCUAAGUGUUGGAGGGUUUCCGCCCUUCAGUGCUGCAGCUAACGCAUUAAGCACUCCGCCUGGGGAGUACGACCGCAAGGUUGAAACUCAAAGGAAUUGACGGGGGCCCGCACAAGCGGUGGAGCAUGUGGUUUAAUUCGAAGCAACGCGAAGAACCUUACCAGGUCUUGACAUCCUUUGACCACUCUAGAGAUAGAGCUUCCCCUUCGGGGGCAAAGUGACAGGUGGUGCAUGGUUGUCGUCAGCUCGUGUCGUGAGAUGUUGGGUUAAGUCCCGCAACGAGCGCAACCCUUAUUGUUAGUUGCCAUCAUUCAGUUGGGCACUCUAGCAAGACUGCCGGUGACAAACCGGAGGAAGGUGGGGAUGACGUCAAAUCAUCAUGCCCCUUAUGACCUGGGCUACACACGUGCUACAAUGGGAAGUACAACGAGUCGCGAAGUCGCGAGGCUAAGCUAAUCUCUUAAAGCUUCUCUCAGUUCGGAUUGUAGGCUGCAACUCGCCUACAUGAAGCCGGAAUCGCUAGUAAUCGCGGAUCAGCACGCCGCGGUGAAUACGUUCCCGGGCCUUGUACACACCGCCCGUCACACCACGAGAGUUUGUAACACCCGAAGUCGGUGAGGUAACCUUUUGGAGCCAGCCGCCUAAGGUGGGAUAGAUGAUUGGGGUGAAG
RNAcentral lists this ribosomal RNA (1485 nucleotides) under Enterococcus durans. RNAcentral describes it as "bacterial SSU rRNA". It matches the Rfam family "Bacterial small subunit ribosomal RNA". Lineage: Bacteria; Bacillati; Bacillota; Bacilli; Lactobacillales; Enterococcaceae. The record is from RNAcentral.